CUAUUACUCCCUCCGUUCCGAAUUACUUGUCUUAGAUUUGUCUAGAUACGGAGGUGUCUAACACUAAAAAGAGUCUAAAUAUAUCCGUAUCUAGACAAAUUCAGGACAAGUAAUUCAAAACGGGGGAGUAGAUA
This is a non-coding RNA of Triticum aestivum (bread wheat), 134 nucleotides long. Lineage: Eukaryota; Viridiplantae; Streptophyta; Magnoliopsida; Poales; Poaceae. The record is from Rfam.